AGUGAACGCUGGCGGUAGGCCUAACACAUGCAAGUCGAACGGCAGCACAGUAAGAGCUUGCUCUUACGGGUGGCGAGUGGCGGACGGGUGAGGAAUACAUCGGAAUCUACUUUUUCGUGGGGGAUAACGUAGGGAAACUUACGCUAAUACCGCAUACGACCUACGGGUGAAAGCAGGGCAUCUUCGGACCUUGCGCGAUUGAAUGAGCCGAUGUCGGAUUAGCUAGUUGGCGGGGUAAAGGCCCACCAAGGCGACGAUCCGUAGCUGGUCUGAGAGGAUGAUCAGCCACACUGGAACUGAGACACGGUCCAGACUCCUACGGGAGGCAGCAGUGGGGAAUAUUGGACAAUGGGCGCAAGCCUGAUCCAGCCAUGCCGCGUGGGUGAAGAAGGCCUUCGGGUUGUAAAGCCCUUUUGUUGGGAAAGAAAAGCAGCAGGUUAAUACCCCGCUGUUCUGACGGUACCCAAAGAAUAAGCACCGGCUAACUUCGUG
This 492-nucleotide ribosomal RNA is filed under the name uncultured bacterium. RNAcentral's name for it is "partial 16S ribosomal RNA". It matches the Rfam family "Bacterial small subunit ribosomal RNA", at positions 29 to 507 of the family's 1533-position model. The record is from RNAcentral.